Molecule: long non-coding RNA, 200 nt
Filed under: Ricinus communis (castor bean)
Lineage: Eukaryota; Viridiplantae; Streptophyta; Magnoliopsida; Malpighiales; Euphorbiaceae
Description: long non-coding RNA (RCOM_LNC001104)
Source: RNAcentral
GUGGGCAUAAUUUCCAGUAAUAACUCAAGUAUGAGGUACAAGAAUUGAGGAAUGGUUUGAACUUAACCAAGCUGAUAUCACACCAAAAGCCGAGAGAGAGCAAUCUUGGACAGGUUGAAAUGCUUGAGCAGAUGAUGUUGCAGAAGAAAGCAGCGGUGAUACAACACAGACGUUGAGCGGUUAAGAGACUGUAGGUGGCG